GGGGCAUGUAAAAACAAGGGAGAAAGAGUGUUGGGGCAUAGAGAUAGAAUUGACACAAAACUAGGUGUCUUGGUGAGAGCAAAGAGAAGAAGAAGAGGGUCUUCUUUGAGGGUUGCUAAGUUCACCUCUUUCCUUCCUCCAUCUGUGAGUUUUCUAAGUGUCUCACAUUUAAAACUCCUUCUCCUACUUUUUAUUUUUGAAAGAGUCUAAAUCAAGAAGAAG
RNAcentral lists this long non-coding RNA (222 nucleotides) under Elaeis guineensis (African oil palm). RNAcentral describes it as "long non-coding RNA (EGUI_LNC060609)". The record is from RNAcentral. Lineage: Eukaryota; Viridiplantae; Streptophyta; Magnoliopsida; Arecales; Arecaceae.